GCAGUUUCUGCAGGAGCGGGAACUGCUAAAAGCACAGGUGGCAGAGGUGAGACUUUGCAGAGGGAGGGAUGUGGAAGGAAGAUGACCCCAGGUGGCCAGGAGCAGGUGAGGACCAGUGACAGCCCUUCCUAACUUCUGGGUCCAUUCUUGCAGGUGACGGAGUGUCUUAAGAAAGCUCAGCUAGAAAGAGACGCAUACGCUCAACAGCUCAAAACAGAGAGGGCGCGGUGGCAGCAGCAAUUGCUGAAAAUGGCAGGAGAAAUUGAAAUAUUCAAAAUGGAGAAAAGACAGGACGCAAUUAAAAUUGAGAAGCUGAAGGGGAGCCUUGCCCACCUACAAAACCAUCUGGCUGAACCCCCAAUCCCGAAGCCUCCAGCAGGGCACUCUGACUUGGAGAAAAACCUAAAAUCUGAA
Molecule: long non-coding RNA, 414 nt
Organism: Sapajus apella (tufted capuchin)
Lineage: Eukaryota; Metazoa; Chordata; Mammalia; Primates; Cebidae
Exons: 3
Source: RefSeq, a predicted model, not a curated record